GGUCUCACUGAUUCCUCCUUCCUGAUGAGCUGUAAUGCCAUUAAUUUGGUGUUGCAGGGAAUCUGGACUGUUACUUUGAAAAAAUUAGAGUGUUUAAAGCAGGCUAACGCUUGAAUACAUUAGCAUGGAAUAAUGAAAUAGGACGUUCGAUCCUAUUUCGUUGGUUUCUAGGAUUGACGUAAUGAUUAAU
This 190-nucleotide ribosomal RNA is filed under the name uncultured Glomeromycotina. Its description in RNAcentral is "partial 18S ribosomal RNA". It matches the Rfam family "Eukaryotic small subunit ribosomal RNA", at positions 686 to 873 of the family's 1831-position model. Lineage: Eukaryota; Fungi; Glomeromycota. The record is from RNAcentral.